AUGGUCGGAACCGAAAUAUCUAGGGGGUUUGAAUCCGCAUAAAAGGGUUAGCUCUCUCUCGGUUGAUUCAGUUGCUACCGAACUUCUUCUCUGGUGGUUCUGCAAAAAAGAGCACCGUUAGCCUCGCCAAGGGGAGAAGGGGGUUCUCUCCUUGACCCGACUCCGGUGUGAGAAUAAGUAUUGGUAAUGGAGAAGAGA
Helianthus annuus (common sunflower) is the source of this 198-nucleotide long non-coding RNA. RefSeq lists it as uncharacterized. Lineage: Eukaryota; Viridiplantae; Streptophyta; Magnoliopsida; Asterales; Asteraceae. The transcript is spliced from 3 exons. The record is from RefSeq and is a predicted model, not a curated record.